GGAGCUCUUCUGUCCUGCCUUUCUUUGCAGCUGAACCUGCCGGUGAAGGGCCCACAUCCAGGACAGAGGCUCUGGGAGAUGCUGAGGGUGUGUCUGCGGGGAGGACUUCUCCAGCUCCAGGGCUGGAUGCUUGGCCGCAACCCAGCUCCCAUGGCAGGGGUCCUCCGACAGGAGAAACCAAAGACAUGGCAGGCAAGAAAUUCCAGGACCCAUUAGUAAUCAUGUGGCAAAUGCUGAAGGAAUGUCUGCAGAGAAGACAAG
This is a long non-coding RNA of Passer domesticus (house sparrow), 261 nucleotides long. RefSeq lists it as uncharacterized. The transcript is spliced from 3 exons. Lineage: Eukaryota; Metazoa; Chordata; Aves; Passeriformes; Passeridae. The record is from RefSeq and is a predicted model, not a curated record.